This 213-nucleotide ribosomal RNA is filed under the name Triticum aestivum (bread wheat). RNAcentral's name for it is "partial small subunit ribosomal RNA". The record is from RNAcentral. Lineage: Eukaryota; Viridiplantae; Streptophyta; Magnoliopsida; Poales; Poaceae.
AUGAAGCUCAUAUGCUGGAAUUGUCGAGGGUUGGGAUCGCCCUCGGCAAUUCGUUCGCUGCUGAAGCUUGUUCGGCAGCAUGGUCCCGACGUUCUCUUCUUGUCCGAGACACAUCUUGAUGGUCCGGGGGGAGAGAGGUUACGUGUGAAACUGGGAUUUGACAAUUUUUCUACUUCACCAAGCAAUGGAAGAAGUGGUGGUAUGAUUAUGUUC